AAAGUGAAAGUAGGUCAUUUAAUUACAAUUUUGACCUUCAGCAGUACAACAACAGUCUUACAAAUUAUGAUUCACUUGUUAAGUCUAAUAUGCCUUUCGGCUUAAGAAAUACCUGCACAAAAUGCCCCAAGGCUUCAACACGCAGUUCACAAUGCAUUUUGACUCAAACAGAUAUAACCUCUAAUCUUCAUCGAUAUUGAAGAAAAUCAAAAUAAAAUGCAAACAUAAAUAUUAAAUAAGCCAUGCCUAAGACGUGGAAGACAGAAGAAGGGAAAAACAAAAGGAAAUAAUAAAGAGAGGAAGAAAAGAAAAAUAAAAGGAAGAAAAACAAAGAAUGAAAAAACUGAAAGGAAGAAAAAGCAAUGGAAUUGCAAAGAGAAGUGACGUAAAAUGUAAACAAAAAACAGCAGAUUGAGGGUUGAUAAAAAUGUUCGGAAAAACAGCUGAUUGAGGAUUGAUAAAAAAUGUUUGGAGAAAAGAUAUUUAGAAUUCUUAUAAUUAACUGAUUUUGUGCAACCAAAAUGCAAUAAAUUAGUUACAAGAUCAGGUAUCCAUUCAUGCUCUGCCCUUGCAUCACUAACCUUCCUUCAAGAAUUAUCUUCUAUAGUGAUUAACUUUUUACAGAAAAUAAUAUGAAGUUUUCUGUACUAGAACAGAAAGACAUUAUCCAAACAAGAUUUUCUAGUUAAUAUGGAGGAAGCCUGAUACUGUAGAAGACAGAAGUUUUGUGCCUGAGAUACCAGUCUUUAACUGUGGAGAUAUUGAAGUGCCUACGAUAGGACAAACCAGUGAUGACUUUCAAGACAUUUCGUCAGAACAGACUGUUCUGCGUAUACCAAGCACUACGGGACAACAGUGAGAGAUGUGUGUUGGGAUGUUUGAGUGUGAGAGAACCAAAAAAACUGUACUCAGUUACUGUGCCAGGUGCCAUAUAAUCUAAUUAAGGAAACAUGCUGCAGUCCAAGAGGCACCAAAGACAGUCACCAUAGAAACACAAACAGAGGUGCCUUACAUCCAUAUUGAAAAGCAUGGACAUGAAUUAAAUUCCAGAUUUAACAGUAGUGUGAAUGAAAGUUAUUCAAAGGAGGAUUUGGACUGGCAUCCAGAUGAAAGUUUUGCUAGUGACAUUGCAGAUAAAGAGAUAGAAGAAUAACCAUUGAAUGAAUGUACAGAGAGAAAAUUUAUUGUUUUCGAAAAACAGUUGGACAAAUUGUGUGAAAUGUGUAAUUUAUGUGGGAGUAGACUUGUGAUUAGGAAGAGAACAAAACAUCAGUGCAAAAUUCUUGUUGCUAUGGCAACCAAAACAAAAGUAGAAAACAACAAGUAGAAAACCACUACGCCUUGGAGGGAAUGUCAGAUGUGAUUUACCAGGUCACACUGUAAAGUAUGGAUCAUACUGUCUGAUUGAUUUCGAAUGAAAUAUGAUUCUGGAUUGCCAGUUAUUUCAAAGUAAUGAGGUAAAGAAUUCUUACUGGAUGGAGACGGAAGGUUUGAAGCCUUGUUUACACUUUAUCAAUGUCUGAACAUUUCCCACCUUGUAACAGAUAGACAUGUCUAUGUCCAGUUGAAAAAGUAUAUGAAAGAGCAACAACCAAAAAUUACUUACUGGUUUGAUGUCUGGCAUGUUGCUAAAGAAUUCUGGGAUUUCAAAGGUCACAAGUACAAACUGCACUAAGAAAUGGGAUGAUGGUUGAGAAUGGACUUGUGAGUGUGUUGAUGACAAGAUAGGUCACCGUGGCCCAGUAGUUAAGGCGUCCACCUCGGGAUCAGGAGGUUGAAGGUUCAAGCCCCAUGGGGAGCAUUCGUGUGGGAGAUGUUUGUCAGUCAUGGGACUCAUUCCAAAAAGGCCUGUACGUGCGCUGUGAGCUAGUUAAAUGAAUGGUUACUUACUUCUAUCCGCCUGGCGCCUGGCAUAGAGAUGCCCACCAUGUAUGAACUUGCCAUCAGACUGGCGGCUGGUAAAAGAUGCUGCCAAACCCUGCUGUAAAAUCCCGACCUGUAGCCCCACACCAUCUCCCCUAACAACAAAGGGACCAGGACUUCUGCCCAUGACUACAGUACCAACACAGAGACCACAAAGUAAUGCAUUGGCAAACAUUCCUAUGAUAUUGUAAUUAAAAUCAUUCCAGAACUACUUUCUUAUAAACAUUAAUUGUAAUUACAAAAUUGGUAAAACUUUUCGAAUUGGCAAUGAGAUAAUAUUAUUAUAAAAGUCAUGUUUACUUACAAAAUAGUAUCUUCAGUUGUUUCAGAAGUGUGUUUACAUGCGUAAUGACAAGAGUAUGUUUCUCAUUUAGUCAAUUGAACAUAUAGUCAAGAUUGACAUAUUAUGAUGUAAUAAGAAAUAUCGGCCUUUUUCAUCCCCUGCCACAAGUGUUGGGGGGGGAUUAUAGGAAUGGUCUCCAUCCGUCCUGCUGUCCGUCCGUUCGUCCGUAACACUUUCAUGUCCGCUUCAUAUCUUCUAAACCCCUUGAAGGAUUUUCAUGAAACUUGGGUCAAAUGAUCACCUCAAAAUGAUGUUCAGAACUCACGAGUCAGCCAUGUUGACUCAAGGUCAAAGUCACAGCUCAAGGUCAUAGGUUUUAGCCUUCCAUUUCGUGUCCGCCCUGUAUCUCCUAAAUCCCUUUAAGGAAUUUUAUAAAACUUGGGUCAUAUGGUUGCCUCAUUAUGACAAUGUGCAGAGCUUAUGAGUCAGCUGUGGUGGCCCAAGAUUAAGGUCACAACCUAGGGUCAAAGGUUUGAGCCUUCUAUUUUGCUCUGUAUCUCCUUAACCCCUUGAAGGAUUUUCAUGAAACUUGGGUCAAAUGAUUACCUUAUCAAGAUGAUGUGCAGAACUCAUGCAUCAGCCAUGUUGGCUCAAGGUCAAGGUCACAGCUCAAAGUCAUAGGUUUUAGUCUUCCAUUUCGUGUUUGCUCUGUGGCUCCUAAAUCCCUUUAAGGAAUUUUAUAAAACUUUGGUCAGAUGAUUGCCUCAUCAAGACAAUGUGCAGAGCUUAUGAGUCAGCUGUGGUGGCACAAGGUCAAGGUCACAACCUAGGGUCAAAGGUUUGAGCCUUCCAUUUUGCUCUGUAUCUCCUAAACCCCUUGAAGGAUUUCAUGAAAUUUUGGGUCAAAUGAUUACCUACCUUAUCAAGACGAUGUGCAGAACUCAUGAGUCAGCCAUAUUGGUCACAACUCGGGGUCAAAGGUUUGAGCCAUCCAUUUUGUGUCUGCUCUGUAUUUCCUAAUCCCAUUGAAGGAUUCAUAUGAAACCUGGGUCAAACAAUCACCCCAUCAAAACGAUGUGCAGAACUCAUCA
This is a long non-coding RNA of Mercenaria mercenaria, 3297 nucleotides long. RefSeq lists it as uncharacterized. Lineage: Eukaryota; Metazoa; Mollusca; Bivalvia; Venerida; Veneridae. The record is from RefSeq and is a predicted model, not a curated record. The transcript has 8 exons.